This 376-nucleotide ribosomal RNA is filed under the name uncultured archaeon. RNAcentral describes it as "bacterial SSU rRNA". It matches the Rfam family "Archaeal small subunit ribosomal RNA", at positions 347 to 727 of the family's 1478-position model. The record is from RNAcentral.
ACUUUACAAUGCGGGCAACCGUGAUAAGGGAACCCCGAGUGCCUGUAUAUGCAGGCUGUCCAGGUGUCUAAAACACACCUGAAGAAAGGGCCGGGCAAGACCGGUGCCAGCCGCCGCGGUAAUACCGGCGGCUCGAGUGGUGGCCACUUUUAUUGGGCUUAAAGCGUUCGUAGCUGGGUUGUUAAGUCUCUUGGGAAAUCUGGCAGCUUAACUGUCAGGCGUCUAAGGGAUACUGGCAAUCUUGGGACCGGGAGAGGUGAGGGGUACUUCGGGGGUAGGAGUGAAAUCCUGUAAUCCUCGAGGGACCACCUGUGGCGAAGGCGCCUCACCAGAACGGCUUCGACAGUGAGGGACGAAAGCUGGGGGAGCAAACCGG